CACACCACAUACCAUUACAUGCCACUUACAAGAAAGAAGAAAGUAGAAAUAUUAAAUUAAGGUUUUCUAGUUUUCCAAUUUUAGGGUUUUAUGAAUGAACCAUGAGAGAAAAGCAAUUACCUACUAGAUGAAGCAAUUCUAUGAUCGUGACAUACAAUGCCAAAUCGGGAGGGAGUGAUGCCGAGAGGGAUAACAGGCACAAAAAGUGAGAUCGCGACGAGGAGUGACAAUGACAAGGGCUGAUGGCGAAAAACUGGUUAACAACGAGAAGGGACUCAGAUAAGAGGGAGUGAGACUGCGAAAAUGAUAAGAAGGGAAAAUGCAUAUGUGAGAGUGGGAAAAUGAAAAUGUGAGCGAGAAAGAAAAUGAAAAUAAAAGUUGAAAAUGUAAGCGAGAAAGAAAAUGAAAAUAAAAAUUAGCUUUUAUUUUUUAAUUUUUUAAUAAUUAAUUAUAAAUAUCUGUAUAUAAUAAUAUCGGUAGGUAUGUUUUAUUUAAGUAUAUACAAAUUUUAAUUUUUUACAUAUGAAAAAUAUUGUUAUAUAAAAU
Molecule: long non-coding RNA, 546 nt
Filed under: Vigna radiata
Lineage: Eukaryota; Viridiplantae; Streptophyta; Magnoliopsida; Fabales; Fabaceae
Description: long non-coding RNA (VRAD_LNC012753)
Source: RNAcentral